Molecule: transfer RNA, 72 nt
Filed under: Candidatus Pacearchaeota archaeon
Lineage: Archaea; Nanobdellati
Description: tRNA-Gly
Rfam family: tRNA
About the family: Transfer RNA (tRNA) molecules are approximately 80 nucleotides in length. Their secondary structure includes four short double-helical elements and three loops (D, anti-codon, and T loops). Further hydrogen bonds mediate the characteristic L-shaped molecular structure. tRNAs have two regions of fundamental functional importance: the anti-codon, which is responsible for specific mRNA codon recognition, and the 3' end, to which the tRNAs corresponding amino acid is attached (by aminoacyl-tRNA synthetases). tRNAs cope with the degeneracy of the genetic code in two manners: having more than one tRNA (with a specific anti-codon) for a particular amino acid; and 'wobble' base-pairing, i.e. permitting non-standard base-pairing at the 3rd anti-codon position.
Source: RNAcentral
GCGCUGGUGGUCCAGUGGUUAAGACAACUGCCUUCCAAGCAGUUUACCCGGGUUCAAAUCCCGGCCGGCGCA